CAGUAGCCACGGGAAUACGUAGGUGGCAAGCGUUGUCCGGAAUUAUUGGGCGUAAAGGGCUCGCAGGCGGUUUCUUAAGUCUGAUGUGAAAGCCCCCGGCUCAACCGGGGAGGGUCAUUGGAAACUGGGAAACUUGAGUGCAGAAGAGGAGAGUGGAAUUCCACGUGUAGCGGUGAAAUGCGUAGAGAUGUGGAGGAACACCAGUGGCGAAGGCGACUCUCUGGUCUGUAACUGACGCUGAGGAGCGAAAGCGUGGGGAGCGAACAGGAUUAGAGACCCCAGUAGUCCCUGUCUCUUAUAC
This 301-nucleotide ribosomal RNA is filed under the name uncultured bacterium. Its description in RNAcentral is "partial 16S ribosomal RNA". It matches the Rfam family "Bacterial small subunit ribosomal RNA", at positions 509 to 807 of the family's 1533-position model. The record is from RNAcentral.